UCAGGAUGAACGCUAGCUACAGGCUUAACACAUGCAAGUCGAGGGGCAUCAGGACGAUAGCUUGCUAUUGUUGCUGGCGACCGGCGCACGGGUGAGUAACGCGUAUCCAACCUUCCCCUUAGUAGCGGAUAGCCCGGCGAAAGUCGGAUUAAUACGCUAUGUUAUCCGAAGAGGACAUCUGAAUUGGAUUAAAGAUUGAUCGCUAAGGGAUGGGGAUGCGUCUGAUUAGGUAGUCGGCGGGGUAACGGCCCACCGAGCCAACGAUCAGUAGGGGUUCUGAGAGGAAGGUCCCCCACAUUGGAACUGAGACACGGUCCAAACUCCUACGGGAGGCAGCAGUGAGGAAUAUUGGUCAAUGGACGAGAGUCUGAACCAGCCAAGUAGCAUGCCAGGAUGACGGCCCUAUGGGUUGUAAACUGCUUUUAUAUGGGGAUAAAGUAAGGGCCACGUGUGGCUUUUUGUAGGUACCAUAUGAAUAAGGACCGGCUAAUUCCGUGCCAGCCGCAGC
Molecule: ribosomal RNA, 508 nt
Filed under: uncultured bacterium
Lineage: Bacteria
Description: bacterial SSU rRNA
Rfam family: Bacterial small subunit ribosomal RNA
Source: RNAcentral